RNAcentral lists this ribosomal RNA (254 nucleotides) under uncultured bacterium. Its description in RNAcentral is "partial 16S ribosomal RNA". It matches the Rfam family "Bacterial small subunit ribosomal RNA", at positions 524 to 776 of the family's 1533-position model. The record is from RNAcentral.
GACGAACCGUGCGAACGUUAUUCGGAAUCACUGGGCUUAAAGCGCGUGUAGGCGGGACGGCACGUCGGUCGCUGAAAUCCCCCGGCUCAACCGGGGAACGGGCGCCGAUACGACCGCCCUGGAGGGGCGUAGGGGGACCUGGAACUUCCGGUGGAGCGGUGAAAUGCGUUGAGAUCGGAAGGAACGCCCGUGGCGAAAGCGAGGUCCUGGACGUCUACUGACGCUGAGACGCGAAAGCUAGGGGAGCGAACGGG